RNAcentral lists this ribosomal RNA (323 nucleotides) under uncultured eukaryote. Its description in RNAcentral is "partial 18S ribosomal RNA". It matches the Rfam family "Eukaryotic small subunit ribosomal RNA", at positions 1470 to 1796 of the family's 1831-position model. The record is from RNAcentral.
CCCUUAGAUGUUCUGGGCCGCACGCGUGCUACACUGAGUGGAUCAGCGGGUCAGGUUGCGCGAAAGUGUUUCCUAAUCUUUAAAUCCGCUCGUGAUGGGGAUUGACGGUUGCAAUUUUCCGUCAUGAACGAGGAAUACCUUGUAAGCGCGGGUCAUCAUCCCGCGCUGAAUACGUCCCUGCCCUUUGUACACACCGCCCGUCGCUCCUACCGAUUGAAUGUGUUGGUGAGGAGCUCGGAUUGGCAGCAGUUGGUGGUUCGCCACCGGCUAUUACUGAGAAGUCCUCCAAACCGCCCCAUUUAGAGGAAGGAGAAGUCGUAACA